Molecule: ribosomal RNA, 305 nt
Filed under: uncultured bacterium
Lineage: Bacteria
Description: bacterial SSU rRNA
Rfam family: Bacterial small subunit ribosomal RNA
Source: RNAcentral
UGUGGUCGGGGGCAGCAGUGGGGAAUAUUGCGCAAUGGGGGCAACCCUGACGCAGCAACGCCGCGUGAUUGAAGAAGGCCUUCGGGUUGUAAAGAUCUUUAAUUGGGGACGAAACAAAUGACGGUACCCAAAGAAUAAGCUCCGGCUAACUACGUGCCAGCAGCCGCGGUAAUACGUAGGGAGCAAGCGUUAUCCGGAUUUACUGGGUGUAAAGGGCGAGUAGGCGGGCUGGCAAGUUGGGAGUGAAAUCCCGGGGCUUAACCCCGGAACUGCUUUCAAAACUGCUGGUCUUGAGUGAUGGAGAG